This 233-nucleotide unclassified non-coding RNA is filed under the name plant metagenome. RNAcentral describes it as "partial contains small subunit ribosomal RNA, internal transcribed spacer 1, and 5.8S ribosomal RNA". The record is from RNAcentral.
UGUCCGUAGGUGAACCUGCGGAAGGAUCAUUAUUGGAUUCUGAAACUUCAGGCUGCUGCUGGCUCUCCUCGUAGGGCAUGUGCACGCUUGUUGUCCAUUAUUUCUCCCACUGUGCACAAAUUGUAGACCUUUCAGUAGGACUAUGUUGUUUUUCACAAACUCUGAAUGUAAUAGAAUGGUUUUGAAUCUUGGGAAAUACAAUACAACUUUCAGCAACGGAUCUCUUGGCUCUC